This 464-nucleotide unclassified non-coding RNA is filed under the name Hevea brasiliensis (rubber tree). The record is from RNAcentral. Lineage: Eukaryota; Viridiplantae; Streptophyta; Magnoliopsida; Malpighiales; Euphorbiaceae.
AGAAUCUGUGCACUUUUUAGCGGUUAAUUUCAAAAGUGUGUAAAAAUUUCCCGCCGAAGCCAUCUGUACCUAAAGUUUCGUUACUGUCGGUUUGGGUUCAUCUAAACAAUACCCGAAUUCUAAACUCCAUCUCUGCGAUCUCUCGCCGUGUUCGCCAGCUCCAUAGAUCUCCAUUGUCGCCACCGAAUCCUGUAGAGACCUCCAUCGUCGCCGCCGUCACCUCGAGGCACAUACCAGCCAAUCGCACUCGCUGCCUACUGUUACAGAAAGCAAGCGUCGAUUUCAGAGACCUCCAGGCAACACUCUUGCUUCGACGAAGCUACAACUUCCGCAUCUCUUCCAGACGUUUCAGAAAAUCUCGAAUUGCAUCGAAACCCAUUUCUCCAAUUUCACAUCCCAUCCUCAACGCCUCCCAACCCUUGGCAAAAACCCACUGUUCUCCAUCUCAUCAUCAUCAUCAUCAU